Molecule: transfer RNA, 57 nt
Filed under: Zea mays
Lineage: Eukaryota; Viridiplantae; Streptophyta; Magnoliopsida; Poales; Poaceae
Rfam family: tRNA
About the family: Transfer RNA (tRNA) molecules are approximately 80 nucleotides in length. Their secondary structure includes four short double-helical elements and three loops (D, anti-codon, and T loops). Further hydrogen bonds mediate the characteristic L-shaped molecular structure. tRNAs have two regions of fundamental functional importance: the anti-codon, which is responsible for specific mRNA codon recognition, and the 3' end, to which the tRNAs corresponding amino acid is attached (by aminoacyl-tRNA synthetases). tRNAs cope with the degeneracy of the genetic code in two manners: having more than one tRNA (with a specific anti-codon) for a particular amino acid; and 'wobble' base-pairing, i.e. permitting non-standard base-pairing at the 3rd anti-codon position.
Source: Rfam by way of RNAcentral
UAGCUUAGUUGAUAAAGCACAAGGCUCUUGACCUUGUGGUUGUGGAUCCAAGCCACA